This is a non-coding RNA of Salmo salar (Atlantic salmon), 70 nucleotides long. Lineage: Eukaryota; Metazoa; Chordata; Actinopteri; Salmoniformes; Salmonidae. The record is from Rfam.
UCCCGUGUGGCUCAGUUGGUAGAGCAUGGAGCUUGUAAAGUCAGGGUUAUGGGUUCGAUUCCCACGGGAG